AACGCACCUUGCGCUCCUUGGUAUUCCGAGGAGCUUGCCUGUUUGAGUGUCAUGGAAUUCUCAACCUUUGAAAGCUUUUAUCGGUUCUCAAAGGCUUGGACUUGGAGGUCGUGUCGGCUCUGCAAAGAAUAUCGACUCCUCUGAAACGUAUCAGUGCGAACCUUUACGGAUCGUCUUCAACGUGAUAAAUGUCUACGUUGUGGCUGAGAGGCGCUCCGUCGUAGGUUUGGCUUCUAACGGUCUCUUUGAUGAGACAUACACCUUUGACCUCUGGCCUCAAAUCAGGUAGGACUACCCGCUGAACUUAA
RNAcentral lists this ribosomal RNA (308 nucleotides) under uncultured fungus. RNAcentral's name for it is "eukaryotic LSU rRNA". Lineage: Eukaryota; Fungi. The record is from RNAcentral.